Melospiza melodia melodia is the source of this 323-nucleotide long non-coding RNA. RefSeq lists it as uncharacterized. The transcript is spliced from 3 exons. The record is from RefSeq and is a predicted model, not a curated record. NCBI's taxonomy places the organism in Eukaryota, Metazoa, Chordata, Aves, Passeriformes, Passerellidae.
CUGACUGCUGUAGGAAUUGCCUAAAGUCAGAUUUAAGGAAAAGAAUAAAUCCUGAAUGUUUGAUGCCCAUAAUGUGCUGGAAUUGGAUUGGGAGAGCAGCAGUUCGUAUUUCAAUCUGUGAAGUGAUGUGCUUUGGUGUCAAAUCUAGAUCAAUGCAACACCCUGUUGAGAACUCGAUGCAGAAACAUGAAAAUGGCUUACUCUAGGAAGCAACUGUUUUCAGUGACAAGUUAUUAUUUCUCUCACCCUUGCUAUGGGAGUGCUUUGCUGAUAUGCACCUCAGUCUCCCUGCCUCGCUCAGACAGGCUCUUUAAAACCAUGAG